GAUGAAGAACGUAGUGAAAUGCGAUAAGUAAUGUGAAUUGCAGAAUUCAGUGAAUCAUCGAAUCUUUGAACGCACCUUGCGCUCUUUGGUAUUCCGAAGAGCAUGCCUGUUUGAGUGUCAUGAAAAUAUCAACCUUGACUUGGGUUUUGUGCUCUAGUCUCGGCUUGGAAUUGGGUGCUUGCCGCUUUUACGAGCGGCUCACCUUAAAUGUAUUAGCUGGAUCUGUCUUUGAGACUUGGUUUGACUUGGCGUAAUAAGUAUUUCGCUAAGGACAUUCUUCGGAGUGGCCUCGUUUCUAGGACGCUUGUCCGCUUUCCAAUACAAGUUCCACCUCGUGGACAUGACUUUUUAUUAUCUGGCCUCAAAUCAGGUAGGACUACCCGCUGAACUUAAACAUAUCAAUAAGCGGAGGA
This 413-nucleotide unclassified non-coding RNA is filed under the name soil metagenome. Its description in RNAcentral is "partial contains 5.8S ribosomal RNA, internal transcribed spacer 2, and large subunit ribosomal RNA". The stretch from base 1 to 120 matches the Rfam family "5.8S ribosomal RNA", at positions 35 to 154 of the family's 154-position model. The record is from RNAcentral.